GCGUCGGCGAUCAGGGGUCUGGGCGCGGCGAGAUCUGGUGUGGCAGAUGUGGAUAGCUGGACCCUCCUGGGUGCCUCUGCGUUAUGUCGUUUGGUUGAUGCAUUUGGAGAGAAUCUGUGCUCUCCACACCUGCAGGGGCAACAUGCUUUCCUGGCCUCUUCAGAUCAGGGUGGCUGUUCUUGGGUGCUGCACCAAAACUCCAGCAGUGGGCUUUCUUCAAGUGGCCGGCUCACCUCAUUCCUGCCAAGACCCAGGUCCGUGUUCUCACAGCGCUGCCAUCUUUCCUCCGUGUGAGCGUGUGCUGUGCGGAGAGUGGACCUCGGUGUGUGCGGGGCUGCGUGCACUGCCAUCGGCUCCCUCUACACGAGCCGCCGUGGACCCAGGGCUGAGCUGUGACCACGAGGGCCAUCCCGACGAGCCGCCGUGGACCCAGGGCUGAGCUGUGACCACGAGGGCUAUCCCGACGAGCCGCCAUGGACCCAGGGCUGAGCCGUGACCAUGAGGGCCAUCCCGAAACUGUGAUUGUUUUCUGGUAUGUGGGGGAUGUGCCAGAACCAGGGCUGAGCUGUGACCACGAGGGCCAUCCCGG
This 589-nucleotide non-coding RNA is filed under the name Pan troglodytes (chimpanzee). Lineage: Eukaryota; Metazoa; Chordata; Mammalia; Primates; Hominidae. The record is from RNAcentral.